This 452-nucleotide ribosomal RNA is filed under the name uncultured bacterium. RNAcentral describes it as "partial 16S ribosomal RNA". It matches the Rfam family "Bacterial small subunit ribosomal RNA", at positions 29 to 523 of the family's 1533-position model. The record is from RNAcentral.
AAUGAACGCUGGCGGCAGGCCUAAAACAUGCAAGUCGAACGCCCUAGCAAUAGGGAGUGGCGCACGGGUGCGUAACAUGUGGAAUAUGCCUUUUGGUACGGAACAACGUUUGGAAACGAACGCUAAUACCGUAUGGUCCCUUCGGGGUAAAGAUUUAUCGCCAAAAGAUUAGCCCGCACUGGAUUAGCUAGUUGGUGAGGUAAUGGCUCACCAAGGCGACGAUCCAUAGCUGGUCUGAGAGGAUGAUCAGCCACACUGGGACUGAGACACGGCCCAGACUCCUACGGGAGGCAGCAGUUAGGAAUAUUGGACAAUGGGCGCAAGCCUGAUCCAGCCAUGCCGCGUGAGUGAUGAAGGCCUUCGGGUUGUAAAGCUCUUUUAUGAGGGAAGAAGUUUAUUGACGGUACCUCAUGAAUAAGGGCCUGCAAAACUCGUGCCAGCAGCCGCAGUAA